RNAcentral lists this long non-coding RNA (543 nucleotides) under Pongo abelii (Sumatran orangutan). RNAcentral describes it as "lincRNA". The record is from RNAcentral. Lineage: Eukaryota; Metazoa; Chordata; Mammalia; Primates; Hominidae.
AUGCUCUGAAUCAGCCUCCAAUACAUGAUACUGUUUCUCCCAUAGCCAGGAUUUACAGGUCCAGUAAUCAAGGGGUGGAAGUGGAAGCGGCACCACUCACUAUCACCCCUAGUGAUCUACUAGCAAAAUUUUUGCUUCCUAUUCCCAUGACAUUACAUUCUGCUGGCUUAGAGGUCUUAGUUCCAGAAGGAGGAGUGCUGCCACCAGGAGACACAACAACAAUGCCAUAAAACUGGAAGUUAAGAUUGCCAUCUGGACACUUUGGGCUCCUCCUACCUUUAAGUCAACAGGCUAAGAAGAGUGUUACAGUGUUGGUUGGGGUGACUGACCCAGACUAUCAAGAUGAAAUCAGUCUACUACUCCACAAUGGAGUUGCUGAAUGAUAAGCAAUAAUGGAAGGAGACUGUGAAAAUCACACUAGAGUGUCAAUGAAAAUCAUCUACAGUUGAUGGUAUCUAAAAGCGAUAAGACACUUCUGAAGUGGCCUUGUGACAUCAUCUCUGAAUAUAGAAGUUGAAUGAAAUAAGUUUGCAAGCACAUUCU